This 548-nucleotide ribosomal RNA is filed under the name uncultured bacterium. Its description in RNAcentral is "bacterial SSU rRNA". It matches the Rfam family "Bacterial small subunit ribosomal RNA", at positions 355 to 896 of the family's 1533-position model. The record is from RNAcentral.
UGGGGAAUUUUGGACAAUGGGCGCAAGCCUGAUCCAGCCAUGCCGCGUGCGGGAAGAAGGCCUUCGGGUUGUAAACCGCUUUUGUCAGGGAAGAAAUCCUUUGAGUUAAUACCUCGGGGGGAUGACGGUACCUGAAGAAUAAGCACCGGCUAACUACGUGCCAGCAGCCGCGGUAAUACGUAGGGUGCGAGCGUUAAUCGGAAUUACUGGGCGUAAAGCGUGCGCAGGCGGUCUUGCAAGACAGGUGUGAAAUCCCCGGGCUUAACCUGGGAACUGCACUUGUGACUGCAAGGCUGGAGUACGGCAGAGGGGGAUGGAAUUCCGCGUGUAGCAGUGAAAUGCGUAGAUAUGCGGAGGAACACCGAUGGCGAAGGCAAUCCCCUGGGCCUGUACUGACGCUCAUGCACGAAAGCGUGGGGAGCAAACAGGAUUAGAUACCCUGGUAGUCCACGCCCUAAACGAUGUCAACUGGUUGUUGGACGGCUUGCUGUUCAGUAACGAAGCUAACGCGUGAAGUUGACCGCCUGGGGAGUACGGCCGCAAGGUUG